UGGGGAAUAUUGGGCAAUGGGCGCAAGCCUGACCCAGCAACGCCGCGUGAAGGAUGAAGGUUUUCGGAUUGUAAACUUCUGUCGCGAGGGACGAAGAAUGACGGUACCUCGUAAGAAAGCCCCGGCUAACUACGUGCCAGCAGCCGCGGUAAUACGUAGGGGGCAAGCGUUGUCCGGAAUGACUGGGCGUAAAGGGAGUGUAGGCGGCUCAUCAAGUUAGAUGUGAAAUCCCGCGGCUUAACCGCGGAACUGCAUCUAAAACUGGUAAGCUGGAGUGCAGGAGAGGUGAGUGGAAUUCCUAGUGUAGCGGUGGAAUGCGUAGAUAUUAGGAGGAACACCAGAGGCGAAGGCGACUCACUGGACUGUAACUGACGCUGAGGCUCGAAAGCGUGGGGAGCAAACAGG
RNAcentral lists this ribosomal RNA (405 nucleotides) under uncultured bacterium. RNAcentral describes it as "bacterial SSU rRNA". It matches the Rfam family "Bacterial small subunit ribosomal RNA", at positions 355 to 776 of the family's 1533-position model. The record is from RNAcentral.